AAUCAACGCUGGCGGCGUGCCUCAGACAUGCAAGUCGAACGCGAAAGUUUCCUUCGGGGAACAAGUAGAGUGGCGCACGGGUGAGUAACACGUAGGUAACCUACCUUUGGAUGGGGAAUAACAACCGGAAACGGUUGCUAAUACCGCAUAAUGCAGCGGCACCUAAUGGUGACAGUUGUUAAAGCGGGGGAUCGAAAGACCUCGCGUCUGAAGAGGAGCCUGCGGCGGAUUAGCUAGUUGGAAGGUAAUGGCUUACCAAGGCGACGAUCCGUAACCGGCCUGAGAGGGCGGUCGGUCACACUGACACUGACAUACGGGUCAGACUCCUACGGGAGGCAGCAGUCGGGAAUUUUGGGCAAUGGGCGAAAGCCUGACCCAGCAACGCCGCGUGAAGGAUGAAAUCCCUCGGGAUGUAAACUUCGCAAGAACGGGAAGAAUAAGCGAGAGUUAAUAUCUUUCGUGAUGACGGUACCGUUUGUAAGCUCCGGCUAACUCCGUGCCAGCAGCCGCCGCGGU
RNAcentral lists this ribosomal RNA (516 nucleotides) under uncultured bacterium. RNAcentral describes it as "bacterial SSU rRNA". It matches the Rfam family "Bacterial small subunit ribosomal RNA", at positions 32 to 524 of the family's 1533-position model. The record is from RNAcentral.